UACGUAGGGGGCAAGCGUUGUCCGGAAUCAUUGGGCGUAAAGAGCGUGUAGGCGGCCCGGUAAGUCCGCUGUGAAAGUCCAGGGCUCAACCCUGGGAUGCCGGCGGAUACUGUCGGGCUCGAGUCCGGAAGAGGAGUGUGGAAUUCCUGGUGUAGCGGUGAAAUGCGCAGAUAUCAGGAGGAACACCAAUGGCGAAAGCGGCUCUCUGGAACGGUACUGACGCUGAGACGCGAAAGCGUGGGGAGCGAACAGG
RNAcentral lists this ribosomal RNA (253 nucleotides) under uncultured bacterium. Its description in RNAcentral is "partial 16S ribosomal RNA". It matches the Rfam family "Bacterial small subunit ribosomal RNA", at positions 524 to 776 of the family's 1533-position model. The record is from RNAcentral.